AGCACACCAAAAAUGAAGAGCUUUGGGAAUCUACUACAUAAUUCAGAAAAUCAAAUAAACAAUGUUGAACAGUUUGACUUUGGUGAAUUUGGAACUUAGAGCCCUGAUCCUCUAAAUAAAAUUCUGAAUCUCUGAAAGCUAUGUCCUAGCCUAGGAGGAUGAGACACGUCAAUCUCCAGUGGAAUAAAAAUUAUUAUCUUCACACUUAUUUGAAACUAUGUGGUUUUGUUUGACCAAGAUUUUCUGCAUGUGAGACUGGAAUGUUCCACCAUAUAGAAUUUUCCAGGUUCGGCAAAAAGUCAUUUUUUUCUGAAGUGUCAUCUGGGAUGUUUUUG
Molecule: non-coding RNA, 335 nt
Organism: Pelobates cultripes (western spadefoot toad)
Lineage: Eukaryota; Metazoa; Chordata; Amphibia; Anura; Pelobatidae
Source: the annotation of a GenBank genome assembly